UGAUAUCUAGGCUCUCGCAUCGAUGAAGAACGUAGCGAAAUGCGAUACUUGGUGUGAAUUGCAGAAUCCCGUGAACCAUCGAGUUUUUGAACGCAAGUUGCGCCCGAAGCCAUCCGGCUUAGGGCACGUCUGCCUGGGCGUCACGCAUCUUGUCGCCACCCCUCCCCUAAUUACGGCGUGGGGUGACGGAUGUUGGCUUCCCGUGUUCUUGCGGCGCGGUUGGCCUAAAUUUGAGUCUCUGGCGCGAGACGUCACGGCAAGUGGUGGUUGAAAUCAUCAACUCGUGUGCUGUCGUGAUCACGCCUGGCACGGACUCCAUCGACCCUAGAGCCCUCGGCCCAUAUUUGAGCCGCGUGCCUUCGAAC
This 365-nucleotide ribosomal RNA is filed under the name Psychotria turrubarensis. RNAcentral's name for it is "eukaryotic LSU rRNA". The stretch from base 2 to 143 matches the Rfam family "5.8S ribosomal RNA". Lineage: Eukaryota; Viridiplantae; Streptophyta; Magnoliopsida; Gentianales; Rubiaceae. The record is from RNAcentral.